AAUGAACGCUGGCGGCAUGCCUAACACAUGCAAGUCGAACGAGACCUUCGGGUAUACUGGCGCAUGGGUGCGUAACGCGGGGGAACCUGCCCUUAGGUUCGGAAGAACUCUCCGAAAGGGGUGCUAACACCGGAUAAUGUCCUCGGACCAAAGGUUUAUCGCCUGUGGUUGGGCCCGAGUUGGAUCAGCUUGUUGGUAGGGUAAAAGCCUACCAGGGCGUCGAUCCAUAGCUGGUAUGAGAGGAUGGUCAGCGACACUGGGACUGGGACACGGCCCAGACUCUUGCAGGAGGGGGGAAUGCGGAAUAUUGGAAGAUGGGCGGAGGGCUGAAGCAGCAAUGCCGGGUGAGUGAUGAAGGUCUGAAGGUAGUAAAGCACUUUUACCCGGGGUGGUAAUGACAGUACCGGGAGAAUAAGCACCGGCUAACUCCGUG
RNAcentral lists this ribosomal RNA (433 nucleotides) under uncultured bacterium. RNAcentral describes it as "partial 16S ribosomal RNA". It matches the Rfam family "Bacterial small subunit ribosomal RNA", at positions 29 to 507 of the family's 1533-position model. The record is from RNAcentral.